GAUGAACGCUGGCGGCGUGCCUAAUACAUGCAAGUCGAGCGAACGGACGAGAAGCUUGCUUCUCUGAUGUUAGCGGCGGACGGGUGAGUAACACGUGGAUAACCUACCUAUAAGACUGGGAUAACUUCGGGAAACCGGAGCUAAUACCGGAUAAUAUUUUGAACCGCAUGGUUCAAAAGUGAAAGACGGUCUUGCUGUCACUUAUAGAUGGAUCCGCGCUGCAUUAGCUAGUUGGUAAGGUAACGGCUUACCAAGGCAACGAUGCAUAGCCGACCUGAGAGGGUGAUCGGCCACACUGGAACUGAGACACGGUCCAGACUCCUACGGGAGGCAGCAGUAGGGAAUCUUCCGCAAUGGGCGAAAGCCUGACGGAGCAACGCCGCGUGAGUGAUGAAGGUCUUCGGAUCGUAAAACUCUGUUAGUAGGGAAGAACAUAUGUGUAAGUAACUGUGCACAUCUUGACGGUACCUAAACAGAAAGCCACGGCUAACUACGUG
Molecule: ribosomal RNA, 497 nt
Filed under: uncultured bacterium
Lineage: Bacteria
Description: partial 16S ribosomal RNA
Rfam family: Bacterial small subunit ribosomal RNA
Source: RNAcentral